CGUGAAGUUGGAAUUGCUGUAAUGGCAGGUCAGCAUACUGCCGUGAAUACGUUCCCGGGGCCCUUGUACACACCGCCCGUCACACCAUGAGAGUUGGGGAUACCCGAAGCCUGUGAGCUAACAGUAAUGAAGCAGCAGUCGAAGGUAGAAUCAAUGAUUGGGGUGAAGUCGUAACAAGGUACC
This 183-nucleotide ribosomal RNA is filed under the name uncultured bacterium. RNAcentral's name for it is "partial 16S ribosomal RNA". It matches the Rfam family "Bacterial small subunit ribosomal RNA", at positions 1319 to 1500 of the family's 1533-position model. The record is from RNAcentral.